UACGGAGGGAGCUAGCGUUGUUCGGAAUUACUGGGCGUAAAGAGCGCGCAGGCGGUCGAUCAAGUCGCGUGUGAAAGCCCCCGGCUCAACUGGGGAGGGUCACGCGAUACUGAUCGACUCGAAGGCAGGAGAGGGUAGUGGAAUUCCGCGUGUAGCAGUGAAAUGCGUAGAUAUGCGGAGGAACACCGAUGGCGAAGGCAAUCCCCUGGGCCCGCACUGACGCUCAUGCACGAAAGCGUGGGGAGCAAACAGG
This 253-nucleotide ribosomal RNA is filed under the name uncultured bacterium. RNAcentral describes it as "partial 16S ribosomal RNA". It matches the Rfam family "Bacterial small subunit ribosomal RNA", at positions 524 to 776 of the family's 1533-position model. The record is from RNAcentral.